This 436-nucleotide ribosomal RNA is filed under the name uncultured bacterium. Its description in RNAcentral is "partial 16S ribosomal RNA". It matches the Rfam family "Bacterial small subunit ribosomal RNA", at positions 28 to 507 of the family's 1533-position model. The record is from RNAcentral.
GAUGAACGCUGGCGGUAUGCUUAACACAUGCAAGUCGAACGGGGUGCCUAGUCCCCUCGUGGCGGCCGGGUGAGUAACGCGUGCGAAUCUGGCCUCAGGUCCGGGACAACCACGGGACACGGUGGCUAAUACCGGAUGUGCCAUAUUGGUUAAAGCUUAAUUGCCUGAGGAUGGGCUCGCGUCUGAUUAGCUAGUUGGUGGGGUAAAGGCUUACCAAGGCGACGAUCAGUAACUGGUCUGAGAGGAUGACCAGUCACACUGGGACUGAGACACGGCCCAGACGCCUACGGGAGGCAGCAGUGGGGAAUUUUCCGCAAUGGGCGAAAGCCUGACGGAGCAAUACCGCGUGAGGGAGGAAGGCUCUUGGGUUGUAAACCUCUUUUCUCAGGGAAGAAGAAUGACGGUACCGGAGGAAUCAGCAGCGGCUAACUCCGUG